Hippocampus comes (tiger tail seahorse) is the source of this 1372-nucleotide long non-coding RNA. RefSeq lists it as uncharacterized. The record is from RefSeq and is a predicted model, not a curated record. The transcript has 2 exons. NCBI's taxonomy places the organism in Eukaryota, Metazoa, Chordata, Actinopteri, Syngnathiformes, Syngnathidae.
GGAAGGACGGGGCUGAGUUUUGGACCCUGAACCUCAAAACUGUGAAGCACACAUGGUAACAACUGCUAGAUAAAAUUCAUCAAUAUUAUACCCCAUUUAGGGUGGUGAUGAAUGUUAAAUGAUGAGACAGCCAUUCUAAAAACAUUUACAAGUCAUAAAAUCAGCAAUAAGGCCUUUGUGUGUCUUUGACCCUGCAAUCCAAAAAUAAAAUGUCUUGUAAAUUUGGCACAGUACAGAAAAGAGUGUUGUUGACAACCAAAUUUCAACGAAUAACAAAAUGGACAAGUAUAUAAAAGGAGGGUUUAUAAAAUGGCGAAAAAUCAAUGCGUUGUCUCCGCUCUCACUGUAGCUGCAUCUGCUGAAUGUGCUGAAAUCAUGCCACUUUCAACUGUAAACUGUCAGUCAAAUACCCAGACUGUACACAGCAGUGUGUACUGCACAUGAACUAUGAAAACAAUGGUAUCUUACAUAAAAAAUCUGGAAAAAAGAACUGGUGAAAAACAACUCAAUUCUAUCGCCACAAUUCAGUAUGACUUAGUUCUCAGUCUUUGCCCAUGUUUUCAGCAAUUAUCUUCAAACAUGUAUACUCUCUAUGCUGUCAAUUCUACCGUUUCAGUUUACAAGGACUUUAACAUUCCAAACAAUUCCACCUUUUUUUAUUUUUUUUUUUUUUUUAAAGAAAACAAGUGAUUUGGCCCCAUUGACUCCACCGAUAUAUUGAUUGCAGGUGUAGUUACAGAGAAACCUGUCUUCUCGUCUUUAUUCUGGUGGCGUUUGUCAGUCUUAUUGGAUAUCCAAUGUCAACACUAUUUGUUCUCUGGAGCUCAGCGUGGAUACAGAGAAGCUGAGCUUUCAGACGGCAGCUUUAAAACACUUGAUUACUGAAUCUUGAAUUCCUCUUGACUUGAUAGUUUGUUUGCUUGAGGUUCCAGAGUGUUGUACAGAAAAGCUUUGGGUCACCUCGAAAACAAACGGUUAAUGUUUGACUAUUUAACGUUUUUAUUUUUGGACUGCACAAAUACUUUUUUUUUAAGGUGCGGUGGAUAUCCUUUUUUUAAAGUUAUUUUAAAUAAAGCAUCUGCAAACCUUUUGGCUCUUACAAAUCUUCCAUCAGUACGAUGGCAGCAUUUGGUUGGUGUAGUACAGAGAAACCAACCGUGUUUACAUGGCCAUCCAAUGUAGUGCUCUUAUUGCAGGUAAUCGUUGGCUACAGUAAGUGUACAUGUGCCUUUUUCUAUUUCUUCUCCCCCUUUGCUCCUCUCCACACAAAAAAUGAGAUUCUGUCAAGAGCGGAUGGCUCUUUCUGUAAUGUUUCAUGUUUAGAUUGGACACUUCCCUUGUGCUCUGUAAUAAAUAAGAUACUUGCAACAUG